AUACGGAGGGUGCAAGCGUUACUCGGAAUCACUGGGCGUAAAGCGCGCGCAGGCGGCUUGGUAAGUUGGAUGUGAGAGCCUACGGCUCAACCGUAGAACUGCAUCCAAAACUGCCAAGCCAGAGUGUGGGAGAGGAAGAUGGAAUUAGUUGUGUAGGGGUAAAAUCCGUAGAGAUAACUAGGAAUACCAAAAGCGAAGGCAAUCUUCUGGAACACUACUGACGCUGAGGCGCGAAAGCGUGGGGAGCAAACAGGAUUAGAAACCCCAGUAGUCC
This 274-nucleotide ribosomal RNA is filed under the name uncultured bacterium. Its description in RNAcentral is "partial 16S ribosomal RNA". It matches the Rfam family "Bacterial small subunit ribosomal RNA", at positions 523 to 796 of the family's 1533-position model. The record is from RNAcentral.